RNAcentral lists this ribosomal RNA (429 nucleotides) under Bacteroidota bacterium. Its description in RNAcentral is "Bacteroidetes bacterium partial 16S ribosomal RNA". It matches the Rfam family "Bacterial small subunit ribosomal RNA", at positions 355 to 776 of the family's 1533-position model. Lineage: Bacteria; Pseudomonadati; Bacteroidota. The record is from RNAcentral.
UAGGGAAUCUUCCGCAAUGGGCGAAAGCCUGACGGAGCAACGCCGCGUGAGUGAUGAAGGUCUUCGGAUCGUAAAACUCUGUUAUUAGGGAAGAACAAAUGUGUAAGUAACUAUGCACGUCUUGACGGUACCUAAUCAGAAAGCCACGGCUAACUACGUGCCAGCAGCCGCGGUAAUACGUAGGUGGCAAGCGUUAUCCGGAAUUAUUGGGCGUAAAGCGCGCGUAGGCGGUUUUUUAAGUCUGAUGUGAAAGCCCACGGCUCAACCGUGGAGGGUCAUUGGAAACUGGAAAACUUGAGUGCAGAAGAGGAAAGUGGAAUUCCAUGUGUAGCGGUGAAAUGCGCAGAGAUAUGGAGGAACACCAGUGGCGAAGGCGACUUUCUGGUCUGUAACUGACGCUGAUGUGCGAAAGCGUGGGUAGCAAACAGG